RNAcentral lists this ribosomal RNA (119 nucleotides) under Triticum aestivum (bread wheat). Lineage: Eukaryota; Viridiplantae; Streptophyta; Magnoliopsida; Poales; Poaceae. The record is from RNAcentral. RNAcentral also lists the same sequence under 1 other name.
AGAUGUGAUCAUACCAGCACUAAAGCAUUGUAUCCAGUCAGAACACCGAAGUUAAUCGUCCUUGGGCGAGAGUAUUACUAGGAUGGGUGACCUCCUGGGAAGUCCUCGUGUUGCAUUCC